GGAAAAGUUAAAAUAUAACUUCUUAAUCAAUUUGACUGACCAGGAAUAUUAAUUGUCUGGAGAAAAAAUGUCGCAACCUACAUUGCCCCGGAACUAUAGCAGUGCACUGACGUAAGUAUCAGGCUUCACAAGACGAAGAAUAUGCCCAGGCAUCAUAGUUUGGUAGUUCAUAAUGCAGUUGCAGAGUCAAAACCAGAUGGCUUUAAAGCCAAAAACAUUUUUGACUUACUAUUACCUUGGGGAACAGCAUACAAACCAGUGAAAGUACUUCAACUUCCAUAUACUA
Molecule: unclassified non-coding RNA, 286 nt
Filed under: Hevea brasiliensis (rubber tree)
Lineage: Eukaryota; Viridiplantae; Streptophyta; Magnoliopsida; Malpighiales; Euphorbiaceae
Source: RNAcentral